GUGGGCUAUAAUUGGAGCUACACCGGCAAAGUUCACUGGAUGGUACCGAAAAGCUAGUCUGGAAGUCUCGGUUAGUCUCGGGGUGACGGGUACACUCACCGUCCACGGCACGGAACCCCCCCCCCCCCACAUGUCGUAAAUGCCGAAACAUCGACCUGCAGACAGUUCCACAGCUGUGGCGAUUUAUCCAUCCAACUUUUUGUCAUUCUGUUGGGCACCAUCGCUGAAUUUUGAGCCCACCUUGCCGGAGUUGGGUGGAUUUGCAAUCGCAGGGGGGGUGAUGUUCGCUUCAGCGAUGCUGGAUUGCACAAAUCGGAAGUGGACCUCAAAUGCGCUGUGCGCGCGUGGGCCUGCAAUUCACUCGCAGCACUUCCUCUAUCUCUUCCACCCAACUUGGUGUGAAGCUAAAGCUUUGGCAAGCAUCUGAAUGAGCCCACGUAAUCUUGAUCACGUCAGUGACUUUGAUUGAUUUGGGAUGCUCGGCGUGCUUUAGUUGAUUUGGAUUUCGGUCUCGAUUACCUUCAAUCAUACUCCGUUCAUUUUCGGGACCACACCUCCGACAUGACCAUUUUAUAGUGAGUGUGGGGAGUGUAGAUAAAUCUGGUGGUGCAACAAGAAAAAUUCAUGGAAGUAUUUAGGGAAUUUGAGAAAUUUAUAUAGGGUUGAUGAGUGGAGAAUGUGUUGUGUGUGGGAUGGAGUAAUAAAUGUCAUCACCAAAGUA
Physcomitrium patens is the source of this 721-nucleotide non-coding RNA. NCBI's taxonomy places the organism in Eukaryota, Viridiplantae, Streptophyta, Bryopsida, Funariales, Funariaceae. The record is from RefSeq and is a predicted model, not a curated record.